This 406-nucleotide ribosomal RNA is filed under the name uncultured bacterium. RNAcentral's name for it is "partial 16S ribosomal RNA". It matches the Rfam family "Bacterial small subunit ribosomal RNA", at positions 30 to 526 of the family's 1533-position model. The record is from RNAcentral.
AUUGAACGCUGGCGGCAGGCUUAACACAUUCAAGUCGAGCGAGCGGCGGACGGGUGAGUAAUGUCUGGGCAACUGCCUGCUGGAGGGGGAUAUCUACUGGACACGGUAGCUCAUACCGCAUACCAUCAGAUGUGCCCAGAUGGGAUUAGCUAGUAGGUGGGGUAAUGGCUCACCUAGGCGACGAUCCCUAGCUGGUCUUAGAGGAUGACCAGCCACACGGGAACUGAGACACGGUCCAGACUCCUACGGGAGGCAGCAGUGGGGAAUAUUGCACAAUGGGCACAAGCCUGAUGCAGCCAUGCCGCGUGUGUGAAGAAGGCCUGCGGGUUGUAAAGCACUGUCAGCGAGGAGGCGUUACUCGCAGAAGAAGCACCGGCUAACUCCGUGCCAGCAGCCGCGGUAAUUC